GAUGAACGCUGGCGGCGUGCCUAAUACAUGCAAGUCGAGCGAACAGAUGAGAAGCUUGCUUCUCUGAUGUUAGCGUCGGACGGGUGAGUAACACGUGGGUAACCUACCUAUAAGACUGGGAUAACUCCGGGAAACCGGGGCUAAUACCGGAUAAUAUUUUGAACCGCAUGGUUCAAUAGUGAAAGACGGUUUCGGCUGUCACUUAUAGAUGGACCCGCGCCGUAUUAGCUAGUUGGUAAGGUAACGGCUUACCAAGGCGACGAUACGUAGCCGACCUGAGAGGGUGAUCGGCCACACAGGAACUGAGACACGGUCCAGACUCCUACGGGAGGCAGCAGUAGGGAAUCUUCCGCAAUGGGCGAAAGCCUGACGGAGCAACGCCGCGUGAGUGAUGAAGGUCUUCGGAUCGUAAAACUCUGUUGUUAGGGAAGAACAAAUUUGUUAGUAACUGAACAAGUCUUGACGGUACCUAACCAGAAAGCCACGGCUAACUACGUGCCAGCCGCCGCGGUAA
RNAcentral lists this ribosomal RNA (514 nucleotides) under uncultured bacterium. Its description in RNAcentral is "partial 16S ribosomal RNA". It matches the Rfam family "Bacterial small subunit ribosomal RNA", at positions 28 to 523 of the family's 1533-position model. The record is from RNAcentral.